RNAcentral lists this ribosomal RNA (492 nucleotides) under uncultured bacterium. RNAcentral's name for it is "partial 16S ribosomal RNA". It matches the Rfam family "Bacterial small subunit ribosomal RNA", at positions 29 to 507 of the family's 1533-position model. The record is from RNAcentral.
AGUGAACGCUGGCGGUAGGCCUAACACAUGCAAGUCGAACGGCAGCACAGUAAGAGCUUGCUCUUACGGGUGGCGAGUGGAGGACGGGUGAGGAAUACAUCGGAAUCUACUUUUUCGUGGGGGAUAACGUAGGGAAACUUACGCUAAUACCGCAUACGACCUACGGGUGAAAGCAGGGGAUCUUCGGACCUUGCGCGAUUGAAUGAGCCGAUGUCGGAUUAGCUAGUUGGCGGGGUAAAGGCCCACCAAGGCGACGAUCCGUAGCUGGUCUGAGAGGAUGAUCAGCCACACUGGAACUGAGACACGGUCCAGACUCCUACGGGAGGCAGCAGUGGGGAAUAUUGGACAAUGGGCGCAAGCCUGAUCCAGCCAUACCGCGUGGGUGAAGAAGGCCUUCGGGUUGUAAAGCCCUUUUGUCGGGAAAGAAAAGCAGCAGGUUAAUACCCCGCUGUUCUGACGGUACCCAAAGAAUAAGCACCGGCUAACUUCGUG